GAUGAACGCUGGCGGCGUGCCUAAUACAUGCAAGUCGAGCGAACGGACGAGAAGCUUGCUUCUCUGAUGUUAGCGGCGGACGGGUGAGUAACACGUGGAUAACCUACCUAUAAGACUGGGAUAACUUCGGGAAUCCGGAGCUAAUACCGGAUAAUAUUUUGAACCGCAUGGUUCAAAAGUGAAAGACGGUCUUGCUGUCACUUAUAGAUGGAUCCGCGCUGCAUUAGCUAGUUGGUAAGGUAACGGCUUACCAAGGCAACGAUGCAUAGCCGACCUGAGAGGGUGAUCGGCCACACUGGAACUGAGACACGGUCCAGACUCCUACGGGAGGCAGCAGUAGGGAAUCUUCCGCAAUGGGCGAAAGCCUGACGGAGCAACGCCGCGUGAGUGAUGAAGGUCUUCGGAUCGUAAAACUCUGUUAUUAGGGAAGAACAUAUGUGUAAGUAACUGUGCACAUCUUGACGGUGCCUAAUCAGAAAGCCACGGCUAACUACGUG
This 497-nucleotide ribosomal RNA is filed under the name uncultured bacterium. Its description in RNAcentral is "partial 16S ribosomal RNA". It matches the Rfam family "Bacterial small subunit ribosomal RNA", at positions 28 to 507 of the family's 1533-position model. The record is from RNAcentral.